AACGAACGCUGGCGGCAUGCCUAACACAUGCAAGUCGAACGAGACCUUCGGGUCUAGUGGCGCACGGGUGCGUAACGCGUGGGAACCUGCCCUUAGGUUCGGAAUAACUCCCCGAAAGGGGUGCUAAUACCGGAUAAUGUCUUCGGACCAAAGAGUUAUCGCCUUUGGAUGGGCCCGCGUUGGAUUAGCUGGUUGGUAGGGUAAAAGCCUACCAAGGCGACGAUCCAUAGCUGGUCUGAGAGGAUGAUCAGCCACACUGGGACUGAGACACGGCCCAGACUCCUACGGGAGGCAGCAGUGGGGAAUAUUGUACAAUGGGCGCAAGCCUGAUCCAGCAAUGCCGCGUGAGUGAUGAAGGCCUUAGGGUUGUAAAGCUCUUUUACCCGGGAUGAUAAUGACAGUACCGGGAGAAUAAGCUCCGGCUAACUCCGUG
This 433-nucleotide ribosomal RNA is filed under the name uncultured bacterium. RNAcentral's name for it is "partial 16S ribosomal RNA". It matches the Rfam family "Bacterial small subunit ribosomal RNA", at positions 29 to 507 of the family's 1533-position model. The record is from RNAcentral.